GUUUUUAUAGUUUAUAUAAAACAUAAAUUUUGUAAAUUUAAAAACCUCUUUAUAGGUAAAAACU
Non-coding RNA from Ciona intestinalis (vase tunicate), 64 nucleotides. The record is from Ensembl. NCBI's taxonomy places the organism in Eukaryota, Metazoa, Chordata, Ascidiacea, Phlebobranchia, Cionidae.